UACGGAGGGUGCGAGCGUUAUUCGGAAUUACUGGGCGUAAAGCGCGUGUAGGCGGGAAGACAAGUCUGAUGUGAAAGCCCCGGGCUUAACCUGGGAAGUGCAUUGGAAACUGUUUUUCUUGAGUACUGGAGAGGAAGGGGGAAUUCCCGGUGUAGAGGUGAAAUUCGUAGAGAUCGGGAGGAAUAUCAGUGGCGAAGGCGCCCUUCUGGACGGAUACUGACGCUGAGACGCGAAAGCGUGGGGAGCAAACAGG
Molecule: ribosomal RNA, 253 nt
Filed under: uncultured bacterium
Lineage: Bacteria
Description: partial 16S ribosomal RNA
Rfam family: Bacterial small subunit ribosomal RNA
Source: RNAcentral